GCACGGUUCCUUGCUUACCUCAUGGUCUGUGAGAGUUUCAAACCACCAGUGUAGAACCACCACUCGCCAAUGGCUGACACGUGUUGGCUAUCGUUGUGGUCCGGCAAGAGCGGAUUUUGGCCGUCCAUUUUGGUGACUAAUAAGAACGACUUGGGAAAUUUCUCUGGUAGAUUGAAAACAUCUUUAUUUUGAGCAGCAUAGUGUCAUUGUGGUGUCUGACUGCUGAGGAAGAAGUUGCCGAUCUAGAUGCAUUGACAUGUUUCCAUAGUGCACGAAGUAAAAAGUUAUUCAUGAACAAAUGCAGGUAGUUCAUUCUUACCUUUGUAUCCACAUUUGAAGUUAAAGACGAUGCUAUGGUGAAGCAUUUGGGUGGACCUUUUGGGAAUUCAUACAAACAAGAACUUUUUAUGACAUAGAUGAAAAAGCUGACAUAAGAUUGUGAAGGUUUCGAUGUAGAGGUGGGCAAUUUUAGCAAGUGAAAGCGGCUGUUUUCGUCAUCCCAGACCGACCCAUUCUAGUGCGAUGUUAGUUGCAGCAAUGGCAGUCAAGUAUAUUGGCGCCGAUUUGUGUCUCGACGAGCGGGAGGUCGUCUGAUUUCACUUGUUACAGUUGUUAAUCGUCCAAAGUCAAGAAGAUACCUUCUCUCACUAGGCUCUUCUUCAGCUGGAAACUCUUCAAGAGGUCGUAAAAUUACUUGAUGGCGGUGCAAAAUUCAACCAAUUCACCAUCGUCUUCUACGAGUGCCGUCAGCCUUUCAGUCAUCGUCUUUCCUGCUCUCGCAUCAUCCAUGUCUCAACUUUUGUUUCUUUAUCCAUCAACGAUUCGAUUUGAUGCCGAAAUUCUUCAAUCAGCGGCAGCGCCCAUUUCACGUGAUGAAUCUCACAUUUGGCAACC
Molecule: long non-coding RNA, 894 nt
Organism: Daphnia magna
Lineage: Eukaryota; Metazoa; Arthropoda; Branchiopoda; Diplostraca; Daphniidae
Exons: 6
Source: RefSeq, a predicted model, not a curated record